UGUGCCAGCAGCCNGCGGUAAUACGUAGGGUGCGAGCGUUGUCCGGAAUUACUGGGCGUAAAGGGCUCGUAGGUGGUUUGUCGCGUCGUCUGUGAAAUUCCGGGGCUUAACUCCGGGCGUGCAGGCGAUACGGGCAUAACUUGAGUACUGUAGGGGUAACUGGAAUUCCUGGUGUAGCGGUGAAAUGCGCAGAUAUCAGGAGGAACACCGAUGGCGAAGGCAGGUUACUGGGCAGUUACUGACGCUGAGGAGCGAAAGCAUGGGUAGCGAACAGGAUUAGAUACC
This 285-nucleotide ribosomal RNA is filed under the name uncultured Actinomycetales bacterium. RNAcentral's name for it is "partial 16S ribosomal RNA". It matches the Rfam family "Bacterial small subunit ribosomal RNA", at positions 504 to 786 of the family's 1533-position model. Lineage: Bacteria; Bacillati; Actinomycetota; Actinomycetes; Actinomycetales. The record is from RNAcentral.